Fukomys damarensis (Damara mole-rat) is the source of this 628-nucleotide long non-coding RNA. RefSeq lists it as uncharacterized. The transcript has 3 exons. The record is from RefSeq and is a predicted model, not a curated record. NCBI's taxonomy places the organism in Eukaryota, Metazoa, Chordata, Mammalia, Rodentia, Bathyergidae.
UCCCCUCCUCCUUCACUGCACACCCGGCUCCCUGGCCUCAGAAAGGAAAGGGCAGGGAGCUUUAGGCAAGGGCUCCAGAAAGACCUCUUAGUGGUGUUUUGUUAUUGUUUGUGGUUGUUUUGUUUUGUUUACCGCUUGUGGUUCUUUUCCGGGCCAUUUUCCUUAUUAGAACUGUACCCUCUGGAGAAGUGAAAGAUGCGCCCUUUCUUCUCUGGUCCCUUCCUUCCGCAGCCCAGCUGCAGUUUUCAAAAUAGAAAACCGGCUUUGAGCAAGGGCUUGCUCAAGGUCACCCAGAAAAACAGAUUCGUUUCCAAGAUUUCUUCCUCCAAAUCUACCCCUCUUCCCAGCUUACCAACUGAGAUAUACCUUCCUAAGCCUUCCCAGUAUCUAAUAAAUCUUGAGUAGGAAGCUUUUUUUCCAAGUUGAGCUUAGCUCCUACAUUGCUAUUUAGACCUAGUUUCUUCCUUAAUGAGGAAAGAUGCCAAGUCCCUAACUGCACCACCAGGCUCAAGAUAUCCAGGCCUCUCUGUUGGGUCCAUGAUUUCGAAGGAGGCCGGGGGCUGAGCUGUGGUCCACUGCAUGGUGACAGGAUCCAUACUGGUGACAAUGGGCUCUACAGACAGAAAGG